This 831-nucleotide long non-coding RNA is filed under the name Setaria viridis. Its description in RNAcentral is "long non-coding RNA (SVIR_LNC008676)". The record is from RNAcentral. Lineage: Eukaryota; Viridiplantae; Streptophyta; Magnoliopsida; Poales; Poaceae.
CAGGUGGUAGAGUUAUCAUUCGCAAUGACCUCUUUUUCCCCGGUCGAGACAUGGGUCAGGGCCCUCUGGCAAGAAAGUUGUGCUUCAUGAUCAAAUGUUUCACGCAGGACAUGGUCACUUAGACAAGUAAAUGCAUAACCCAAUAAAAAGCACCUCGCAGUAAUUUCCACUAGCACCAAUAGUAAAAGAAAAAAAGUUCACCGUCCGUAUGACUGCCUAUAUACACAACACUACAGUGUAGAGUAGAGGAAGAGGAAAGAACGAUGAAUGAUAGAGCCAGGAAGAAGCUGCAUGCCAUAGUGUGUUGGGAAUGAGAGGCAAAGGGGGAAGUAGAUGUCGAUCUUCAGGAAUCCAGAGUGAGGAACAUACUGAACUCAUUUCUUUCAUUGAAGGUGUGCCUGCGUUACAUGCUGUGCUAUUUCUCUUGUGCAAAACGUGGAUUGCGGUGGGUGAGAGAGCAGGUUUGUGUGUCCGAUCGAUUUAGCAGGCGAACUGUCUGAUGCAUCCCGAGUAGAGGUUCCUCCUCUGGCGCCUCCUAGAAGGUUCAGAUAUGGACUUUGGAUGGUAGAGGUGGAUUACGGAGGCUGCAAAAAUGGACUGGCAGGAGGCAGCUAGCGUUCAAGUUGGAAGGCAGGUUCAGUAUGAAUUAGGAAUUUGAGGGAGGGUGUAGAAGGAUGGGUGGCUUUUUCUGUAAGAACAGCUUGAAAGCCCCGCAGUAGUGCGAAUAUUAGAGCACCAUUUUGUGCACUAGUGAUUUUUUUUCUUUUGUUCCCCUCCCACGCAUUGCAAAACUUGAAUACUGUUGCUUUCAUCCACGUCAUGAAUCCAAAC